Molecule: long non-coding RNA, 1085 nt
Filed under: Citrus maxima (pomelo)
Lineage: Eukaryota; Viridiplantae; Streptophyta; Magnoliopsida; Sapindales; Rutaceae
Description: long non-coding RNA (CMAX_LNC003651)
Source: RNAcentral
UUCGGGUUGCAAAACGGCUUGGGUUGCAAAAUGGUAGUGUGCGUGUGCAUAUAUAAGGGGAGAGGGAAUUAAAAUAUCAGAGUAAAAAUUUUCGUUCUGGAACAUACAAUUGAUGUUAAUUUGCAAGUAGUCGCUGAGAAUAUUCAAACAAGAAGCCAAAAAGCAAAAAGAUGAUCAUCAAGAGAAUGGCAUCUACAUAUUACAGCCUUAUUAUUUGCAUGCGGGCCUCGGGCAAAUUAAUACAAAGAGAAGGCUCCAAAACAAGGGAUUGACCAGUCGAUUCUUGAUCACCAUGCACCAUAAAGCCAGCGUCACUGCCACAACCACCUAUGAUUAUGAUCUCAAGUUUUAGUGCUUUUGGAAAGUGUGUGUGGACGUGGGUCGAACAACACAGUACACAACAAUGCAAGAAAAUGCAGCCAAGCAAAAUUUAUAAUCGACUUGCCGUGCGAGACGAGUGAACAGCGAGCUGCGACAGCAUGGCUGUGGACGAUUUGCUGUGCGGGCGAGUGAUGACGGCAGGCUAAUAGCAAAGGAGCAGUCAUGGCUCGUGUGAGAGAGCCGAGACGAAAUUGGACGGUGAGGACGUGACGCGUGAGGCAGUGGUGUGUUGGCGUGGUGCAGCGACGUCGACGUGGAGCGGUAGAGAAACUGCCGGCCGGGAUCGAUUUUGGUUAGGGUUUGGGAAUUGGGAUUUUGGGCAGGUUGUUAGAAUCGGGUUUGUGAGUACUGAGAAAUUCAAUUGGUUAUGAGGUAAUUGGAAAUAUAGCAAUGGUUAAACGGGUUUGGGAAUUGGGUUUUUGGAUUUUUUUUUUUAAAAGAGUUAAAAACCGAUCGGUUUGGAAAUGACCCGAACGGGAUUUCAAAACCGAUCGGUUUGGAAAUGACCCGAACGGGAUUUCAAAACCGAUCGGGUCCGAGGAUAUAAUCCGUUCGGGUUUUAUCCACUUGAUUUUAAGCCAGGCCGUUUACCAAUUAUAACUAUCCAAUCUUUAUGCUCAUUAAUUAUUUGGUACUUUGUUGAAAGGUAUUAAUAUAAGCCAUAAGGCUACCACCUAUGCCCGUCAUCUUCUUGUAGAAGUCAG